AUGCAUUCUCAAAACCCUCCUGGUACUGUUUCAAUAAUAACUUCCAGGAUAAGGAGAAAUGCAAAAAAAAAAGUAGAGUUAUCCAAAAUGCAGUAUUAUUUUGUAAUUCUGCAUUAUUUCAGCUCUUCAACAAGU
Molecule: small nucleolar RNA, 135 nt
Filed under: Ophiophagus hannah (king cobra)
Lineage: Eukaryota; Metazoa; Chordata; Lepidosauria; Squamata; Elapidae
Description: Small nucleolar RNA SNORA14
Rfam family: Small nucleolar RNA SNORA14
About the family: ACA14 is a member of the H/ACA class of snoRNA that guide the sites of modification of uridines to pseudouridines.
Source: Rfam by way of RNAcentral